GCCUCCUUAGCUCAGUGGUAGAGCACUCGCCUUGUAAGCGAAAGGUCGUCAGUUCAAUCCUGACAGGGGGCUCCG
Molecule: transfer RNA, 75 nt
Filed under: Mycolicibacterium parafortuitum
Lineage: Bacteria; Bacillati; Actinomycetota; Actinomycetes; Mycobacteriales; Mycobacteriaceae
Also listed under: 3 other names
Description: tRNA-Thr
Rfam family: tRNA
About the family: Transfer RNA (tRNA) molecules are approximately 80 nucleotides in length. Their secondary structure includes four short double-helical elements and three loops (D, anti-codon, and T loops).
Source: RNAcentral